RNAcentral lists this ribosomal RNA (253 nucleotides) under uncultured bacterium. Its description in RNAcentral is "partial 16S ribosomal RNA". It matches the Rfam family "Bacterial small subunit ribosomal RNA", at positions 524 to 776 of the family's 1533-position model. The record is from RNAcentral.
UACGUAUGGUGCAAGCGUUAUCCGGAUUUACUGGGUGUAAAGGGAGCGUAGGCGGCGCGUUAAGUCUGAUGUGAAAACCCGAGGCUCAACCACGGGAGUGCAUUGGGAACUGGCGGGCUGGAGUGCCGGAGAGGUAAGCGGAAUUCCUAGUGUAGCGGUGAAAUGCGUAGAUAUUAGGAGGAACACCAGUGGCGAAGGCGGCUUACUGGACGGCAACUGACGCUGAGGCUCGAAAGCGUGGGGAGCAAACAGG